This 184-nucleotide non-coding RNA is filed under the name Desulfuromonadales bacterium. RNAcentral's name for it is "6S RNA". It matches the Rfam family "6S / SsrS RNA". From Rfam's summary of the family: E. coli 6S RNA was the first non coding RNA to be sequenced, but its function was unknown until recently. It consists of 184 nucleotides that fold into an extended hairpin structure with a large single-stranded internal bulge. Lineage: Bacteria; Pseudomonadati; Thermodesulfobacteriota; Desulfuromonadia; Desulfuromonadales. The record is from RNAcentral.
GGCUCUCUGCCCUGCACGUGAGACUCCAAUGUCCACGCGGUAUAAUUUUCGUUUCGGAACGGCUUCAGAGGUGCGGUGUGCAAGCCCGCCGCGGAGCGGGACGCCUGAUGCAUCAACAAGCCGGGCCACCUUGUUGGGAUAGUCGCUGUGAGACCCAACAGUCCACGACAGGUGUGGAGAGCUC